RNAcentral lists this ribosomal RNA (233 nucleotides) under uncultured Lactobacillus sp. Its description in RNAcentral is "partial 16S ribosomal RNA". It matches the Rfam family "Bacterial small subunit ribosomal RNA", at positions 129 to 355 of the family's 1533-position model. Lineage: Bacteria; Bacillati; Bacillota; Bacilli; Lactobacillales; Lactobacillaceae. The record is from RNAcentral.
CCCAAGAGAUCGGGAUAACACCUGGAAACAGAUGCUAAUACCGGAUAACAACAGAUGAUGCCUAUCAACUGUUUAAAAGAUGGUUCUGCUAUCACUCUUGGAUGGACCUGCGGUGCAUUAGCUAGUCGGUAGGGUAACGGCCUACCAAGGCGAUGAUGCAUAGCCGAGUUGAGAGACUGAUCGGCCACAUUGGGACUGAGACACGGCCCAAACUCCUACGGGAGGCAGCAGUA